UGGUCUCUGUUCCCUGCCAUUGGAUA
RNAcentral lists this unclassified non-coding RNA (26 nucleotides) under Mus musculus (house mouse). Its description in RNAcentral is "oocyte_clustered_small_RNA13827". The record is from RNAcentral. Lineage: Eukaryota; Metazoa; Chordata; Mammalia; Rodentia; Muridae.